UCCCUGGUGGUCUAGUAGUUAGGAUUCGGCACUUUCACUGCUGUGGCCCAGGUUCAAUCCCUGGUCAGGGAA
This 72-nucleotide transfer RNA is filed under the name Tursiops truncatus (common bottlenose dolphin). RNAcentral describes it as "tRNA-Glu (TTC) (tRNA-Glu-TTC-19-1)". It matches the Rfam family "tRNA". From Rfam's summary of the family: Transfer RNA (tRNA) molecules are approximately 80 nucleotides in length. Their secondary structure includes four short double-helical elements and three loops (D, anti-codon, and T loops). The record is from Rfam by way of RNAcentral. RNAcentral also lists the same sequence under 6 other names. Lineage: Eukaryota; Metazoa; Chordata; Mammalia; Artiodactyla; Delphinidae.